GCCAGGUCUGUGGUUGAAAGUCGAUGCCAGUCGCAGGCAAAACGAUCCACGUAAUCCGGCCAAAGCGCCGGGGAGCAUGGUGCGGCUUAGAGGUAAGUCCGGCCAGAGUAAUUCUGAGAGGGCCAGUAGUGGGAGGGCAGAGGCCUUAUGAGCGAACGUCCCAGCCGGCGAGUGUGGGGUCAAAGACCAGGUCAGCUGGGC
RNAcentral lists this non-coding RNA (201 nucleotides) under Candidatus Faecaligallichristensenella faecipullorum. RNAcentral's name for it is "raiA RNA". It matches the Rfam family "raiA RNA". The record is from RNAcentral. Lineage: Bacteria; Bacillati; Bacillota; Clostridia.